This 733-nucleotide long non-coding RNA is filed under the name Salvator merianae (Argentine black and white tegu). RNAcentral describes it as "lncRNA (ENSSMRG00000002533.1)". The record is from RNAcentral. Lineage: Eukaryota; Metazoa; Chordata; Lepidosauria; Squamata; Teiidae.
GCUUAACACCGAUUGUAGACCAUCUGGACCACAACCAAACAUCUGAAAUACCCAGAGGUUUCAGAAUCGCUCUACGGCCCCCGAAACAUACGUCUGGGCUUUCCGUCAGGUGGAAAUCAAUGGCUGCAACCUCGCACCAGUGAAUCGAGGUUAAUUGUAAUAUCCAUACCGCUAGGAGUAGAAAAGCACGGAGAAAACGAACCAGUGCCUACUCAGAGGGAUCGUGUUAGGAGAACGAAGGUAAUCCUAAAUUCCAUCUCGCGGAGAAACACGUAGAACGGUAUCCACGCUUAGGAAAACAUCGAGCUAUAGAUACAGACAGGAAGAAGGUGUCUUAUGCCCGGCAAGACGGUUUCCAGAUAGAAGGGAACUGCUUACGUUUCGGAACCUUGUCUCUGCGCGUCCUGCCCUCAGAAGAUAAACAGUUUUCCCUAGCGGGGCAGUAUUUCUUCGGCUGGGGUUGGGGAACAGACCAGGGCUGCCUCUUAACGGCAGCGACUUGAACAAGAGUACAAGAGAGCGAGAACUUGGAUGUCCUGAUCGAAAGGACUGAUGUCGCAGUUGGGCGAAAGAUNUUUCAGGCCCAUUCCUGACUGUUUAUCCUGCGAUUCACUAUUUAGCUUUAGAAAGAUACAUUAACAUUUAAACUGGGAACGGUAGGGCUAGGGGCAUUCUUUGCCUGCAACUCAGAAGUGCUGUAAAUAAAUCAUAGGGGCUGUAAAUGUUUUCUACA